Molecule: ribosomal RNA, 181 nt
Filed under: uncultured bacterium
Lineage: Bacteria
Description: partial 16S ribosomal RNA
Rfam family: Bacterial small subunit ribosomal RNA
Source: RNAcentral
GGCGCACGGACACCCUGGAACUGAAACACGGUCCAGACUCCUACGGGAGGCAGCUAUGGGGAAUUUUGCUCAUUGGGGGAAACCCUGACGCAUCAUCGCCUCGUGGAGGAUGAAGUCUCUUGGGACGUAAACUCCUUUCGAUAGGGAAGAUAAUGACGGUACCUAUAGAAGAAGCCCCGGC